Molecule: ribosomal RNA, 451 nt
Filed under: uncultured bacterium
Lineage: Bacteria
Description: partial 16S ribosomal RNA
Rfam family: Bacterial small subunit ribosomal RNA
Source: RNAcentral
AACGAACGCUGGCGGCAGGCCUAAAACAUGCAAGUCGAACGGGUGUAGCAAUACAUCAGUGGCGCACGGGUGAGUAACGCGUGGGAACGUGCCCUUCAGUACGGGACAACGUCGGGAAACUGACGCUAAUACCGUAUAAUAUCUCAGGAUCAAAGAUUUAUCGCUGAAGGAUCGGCCCGCGUCUGAUUAGUUUGUUGGUGAGGUAACGGCUCACCAAGACUACGAUCAGUAGCUGGUCUGAGAGGAUGAUCAGCCACACUGGGACUGAGACACGGCCCAGACUCCUACGGGAGGCAGCAGUUAGGAAUAUUGGACAAUGGGGGAAACCCUGAUCCGGCCAUGCCGCGUGUGUGAUGAAGGCCUUAGGGUUGUAAAGCACUUUCGUUGGGGAUGAUAAUGACCGUACCCAAAGAAGAAGCCACGGCUAAAUUCGUGCCAGCCGCCGCUGUAA